Molecule: small nuclear RNA, 104 nt
Filed under: Moschus moschiferus (Siberian musk deer)
Lineage: Eukaryota; Metazoa; Chordata; Mammalia; Artiodactyla; Moschidae
Source: RNAcentral
GUGCUUACUUUGGCAGCACAUACAUUUAAACAAACAAUACAGAGAAGAUUAGCAUGGCCCGUGCACAAGGAUGACAUGCAAAUAGGGAAGCAUUCCAUAUUUUC